Molecule: RNA transcript, 1507 nt
Organism: Canis lupus familiaris (dog)
Lineage: Eukaryota; Metazoa; Chordata; Mammalia; Carnivora; Canidae
Exons: 3
Source: RefSeq, a predicted model, not a curated record
AGGCUCCCAGAGAAAGAAUCCUAGAACAUCAAGCCUUGGGGCUUGGUUUCGUCAUGGCAAAACCAGUCUUUAGCUAAACCAGUGCGUUGGCCCUGCUUCCUCUCCGGCCCAGGGUGUGCCCAGUCUUUGCCAUAGAGUAGGUGCUGGGUAAACGAACAUUUGUUUAGUGAAUGAAUAAGGGGGCAUUAAGAACUUUCAAAGCGGCGAUAGUGAGCUGCUAUUAGUGGGAGGAACCAAGGAGCUGCUGGACGGCCGUUCGCGUGGGGUCUCCUCUCAGGGAGUGCCGGGGCCUAGGAGAACCUUGCGCGGCCGGGCCAGGGCGUGUGAGGCUAACUCGGAACGGUCCCCGAGGGCGGGGGCGAUAGGCCGCGGGCUUAGUUCACGCCCCCGCGCCGCCGCACUCCCCGCACCCGCAAGGCCGGGCCCGCGCCUCCCCGUCGCGCCGCUCUGGCCGGGGGCGCAGCCGGAGGCUCGCGGGAGCUGACGCGGCUGCCGGCGUCCCGGGCAGGCUCCGCUCUCAGGAGCGACGCGCCGCCGCCGUAAUUGGAGCCCGCGCCGCACCGCCAGGCUGCUACAAUAGAAUCUCAUAGACUGCAUGGCUCAAACAGCAAAAAUUUAUUCCCCACAGUUUUGGAGAUGAAGCCCAAGCAAGAUCUGGGUGCCAGUACGGUGGGAUUCUGGUGGGAACCCUUUUCCGGGCUGCAGCCUGCCAGCUUUUCACUGUGUCCUCAUGUGGCAGAAAGGGAGCAGGAGAGCUUUUUGCAAUCUCUUUAUAAGGGCACUAAUCCCAUUCAUGAGGGCUUCACUCUUCUGAGAUUAGGACCCCCAUCCUCCUUACAGGUGAGGACCCCAUCCUCCCGGGGUGGCGGCAAGGGACGUCUCCUCAAGACCCCCCGUUGACGGCCCACCAGCGCAUCCACUUAAGCCAAUGCCGACCUAAUACAGAUUGGAAUUCCUUCAGGUUAGAGCUCUCAGAAAUAUGCGCACAAAAGGUGGAAAAAGUUGAGUGCACUCACCAUGCAUGAAACCCUCCGGAUGGGGUCCUGGAGGUUUCUUGGAUCCCGGACGAGCCCCCAAAUGUUGUGCCCAAGACUGCGAAUCCGAGAAACCACCAAGGAGCCGACACCGAUGCAAACACACAAGGGUUUAUUUACAAGCUCGAGCUUGGGUCCAAGUAUACCUGACACAGUGGAGCAGGGACUUGGACCUAAAGAAGAUUUUUUAAAAUGCCUCUGAAGGCAGUGCCAAACUGCUGAGCCACCUGGGAAGAACUGCCCAAGCAGAACUGCCUUGAGAUCCAUUUAAGAUAUUUUGUUCCUGGGAUCCCUGGGUGGCUCAGCGGUUUAGCGCCUGCCUUUGGCCCAGGAUGUGGUCCUGGAGACCCAGGAUCGAGUCCCACAUCAGGAUCCCUGCAUGGAGCCUGCUUCUCCCUCUGCCGGUGUCUCUGCCUCUCUUCUCUCUCUGUGUCUCUCAUGAUAAAUAAAUAAAAUCUUAAAAAAAAAAAAAA